ACCUACUUUACCCGGGUAACUUAUGUGUAUGAAUUCUUGCACAUACUUUACCCGGAUAACUUAUGUGCUUGAGUUUGUAUGGGCUGCAUGUUGACACUUUGGCUUCUUCACAUGCUGCAUGCAGGCCAAUUUCCAACACUCCUCCUUGGCUUGCAUGCUGCAAACUCUUGUUCUUUAAGCAUUCUCUGAUGAUUUGGUUCACUAAAUCAUUUUUCUCAUCUCCUUUUGCUUCCAAAUCUCUUUGAAGGUCCUCGACCAUUUGCUUCAACUCUGAUUUUUGAUUCUCCAUUUCAUUCAGUUUUUCGGAUGACUUUUGUUUCUUUC
RNAcentral lists this long non-coding RNA (324 nucleotides) under Gossypium barbadense (sea-island cotton). Its description in RNAcentral is "long non-coding RNA (GBAR_LNC002831)". Lineage: Eukaryota; Viridiplantae; Streptophyta; Magnoliopsida; Malvales; Malvaceae. The record is from RNAcentral.